CAGUAGCCGCGGUAAUACAGAGGAUGCAAGCGUUAUCCGGAAUGAUUGGGCGUAAAGCGUCUGUAGGUGGCUUUUCAAGUCCGCCGUCAAAUCCCAGGGCUCAACCCUGACAGGCGGUGGAAACUACCAAGCUGGAGUACGAUAGGGGCAGAGGGAAUUUCCGGUGGAGCGGUGAAACGCGUUGAGAUCGGAAAGAACACCAACGGCAAAAGCACUCUGCUGGGCCGACACUGACACUGAGAGACGAAAGCUAGGGGAGCAAAUGGGAUUAGAUACCCCCGUAGUCCCUGUCUCUUAUACA
RNAcentral lists this ribosomal RNA (301 nucleotides) under uncultured bacterium. RNAcentral's name for it is "partial 16S ribosomal RNA". It matches the Rfam family "Bacterial small subunit ribosomal RNA", at positions 509 to 808 of the family's 1533-position model. The record is from RNAcentral.